GAUGAACGCUAGCGGGAGGCCUAACACAUGCAAGCCGAGCGGUAGAGUCUCUUCGGAGACUUGAGAGCGGCGCACGGGUGCGGAACACGUGUGCAACCUGCCUUUAUCUGGGGGAUAGCCUUUCGAAGGGAAGAUUAAUACCCCAUAAUAUACUGGAUGGCAUCAUCUGGUAUUGAAAACUCCGGUGGAUAGAGAUGGGCACGCGCAAGAUUAGAUAGUUGGUGAGGUAACGGCUCACCAAGUCAGCGAUCUUUAGGGGGCCUGAGAGGGUGAUCCCCCACACUGGUACUGAGACACGGACCAGACUCCUACGGGAGGCAGCAGUGAGGAAUAUUGGACAAUGGGUGAGAGCCUGAUCCAGCCAUCCCGCGUGAAGGACGACGGCCCUAUGGGUUGUAAACUUCUUUUGUAGAGGGAUAAACCUAGAUACGUGUAUCUAGCUGAAGGUACUAUACGAAUAAGCACCGGCUAACUCCGUG
This 479-nucleotide ribosomal RNA is filed under the name uncultured bacterium. Its description in RNAcentral is "partial 16S ribosomal RNA". It matches the Rfam family "Bacterial small subunit ribosomal RNA", at positions 28 to 507 of the family's 1533-position model. The record is from RNAcentral.